UAGGGAAUCUUCCGCAAUGGACGCAAGUCUGACGGAGCAACGCCGCGUGAGUGAAGAAGGAUUUCGGUUCGUAAAGCUCAGUUGUUAAGGAAGAACGAGUGUGAGAAUGGAAAGUUCAUACUGUGACGGUACUUAACCAGAAAGGGACGGCUAACUACGUGCCAGCAGCCGCGGUAAUACGUAGGUCCCGAGCGUUGUCCGGAUUUAUUGGGCGUAAAGCGAGCGCAGGCGGUUAGAAAAGUCUGAAGUGAAAGGCAGUGGCUCAACCAUUGUAGGCUUUGGAAACUGUUUAACUUGAGUGCAGAAGGGGAGAGUGGAAUUCCAUGUGUAGCGGUGAAAUGCGUAGAUAUAUGGAGGAACACCGGUGGCGAAAGCGGCUCUCUGGUCUGUAACUGACGCUGAGGCUCGAAAGCGUGGGGAGCGAACAGG
RNAcentral lists this ribosomal RNA (429 nucleotides) under Bacteroidota bacterium. RNAcentral's name for it is "Bacteroidetes bacterium partial 16S ribosomal RNA". It matches the Rfam family "Bacterial small subunit ribosomal RNA", at positions 355 to 776 of the family's 1533-position model. Lineage: Bacteria; Pseudomonadati; Bacteroidota. The record is from RNAcentral.